This 350-nucleotide ribosomal RNA is filed under the name Escherichia coli. RNAcentral describes it as "partial 23S ribosomal RNA". It matches the Rfam family "Bacterial large subunit ribosomal RNA", at positions 606 to 957 of the family's 2925-position model. Lineage: Bacteria; Pseudomonadati; Pseudomonadota; Gammaproteobacteria; Enterobacterales; Enterobacteriaceae. The record is from RNAcentral.
UUUUGUAUAAUGGGUCAGCGACUUAUAUUCUGUAGCAAGGUUAACCGAAUAGGGGAGCCGAAGGGAAACCGAGUCUUAACUGGGCGUUAAGUUGCAGGGUAUAGACCCGAAACCCGGUGAUCUAGCCAUGGGCAGGUUGAAGGUUGGGUAACACUAACUGGAGGACCGAACCGACUAAUGUUGAAAAAUUAGCGGAUGACUUGUGGCUGGGGGUGAAAGGCCAAUCAAACCGGGAGAUAGCUGGUUCUCCCCGAAAGCUAUUUAGGUAGCGCCUCGUGAAUUCAUCUCCGGGGGUAGAGCACUGUUUCGGCAAGGGGGUCAUCCCGACUUACCAACCCGAUGCAAACUGC